RNAcentral lists this long non-coding RNA (984 nucleotides) under Hordeum vulgare. Its description in RNAcentral is "long non-coding RNA (HVUL_LNC019082)". Lineage: Eukaryota; Viridiplantae; Streptophyta; Magnoliopsida; Poales; Poaceae. The record is from RNAcentral.
UCCGAUCUGUGUGAUUCUUUCUCUCGCAAGGCUAGGCUAUGCCCGUCGCUGCCACCUGCCUCUGCGGCCACUGCCUCCCACCGCGGCUCCCUCCAACGACCCUCCACGCCCGUCGCACCAGCCAUUCUCCUUCCUUCCUCCUCCCUCCUUCCAACCAUUGCCUCCCGUUCCUCCCAAGAUGGUGCUCCGGCCGAUGGUGAGGCGACUCCGGCGCCGACGCACUAGCCCUUCUCCUACUCCUUCCUCCUUCCUCCCAACCCUACCACCCUCCUCCAUCCUUCCUCCCCUGCCCCUUAUCCCCUAUAUCCCCUCCUCCCAAUGAUGCAGGUCCGGCCGCAGGGCCUAGCCGGGGCCGACGCACUGGCCCCCCUUCUUCCUCCCUCCUCCCUCAAUCCCUCCGCCCCUCAUCCCCAUCCACAUUCACAAACUCGGAAUUUGUUAUAAGGUGUAAAUCAUACCUUAACUUAGUGCCUGAAAAUAAAGCGCAUGAGUCGAUCGAGAAAAUUCCUUCGUCCCAUAGUUAGCUUGAAAAACGAUUUUAUAUUGUGGGACGGAGGGAGUAAUUGUAUACAAUUUGACCGAGAUGAAAAUAUUAGACCAAAGCAGUAAUAUGCUCUAACAAUGUAUUUGUCAGGUGUUGUUGCACAAAUAAGUGGAGAGGACACUGUCAUGGUUGCAACUUACAGCAUUAUGCGAAUACCUUCUCCAGAAAUCACUCCUCAAAAGUGAAGAGAGAGUGACAAGUGACGAGAGUAAAUGGCAUUAUUGUUGAAGUGCAUAUGUAGAUUUUCAAGAUUUUUUUAUCAGUUCAGACUUUUUGUUAUGUUGCCUAGUGUAUAAGCUUAAUAUGAUAUCAGCGCUUAAGGUUUUGAGUUAAGUCUUGGCUUCACAAUUUAUCCAAAACCUGUUGUUGUCCCCUCUGUCUCCAUGUAUAGACUUCCUGUAUCACACGUGAAAGUGGAUAUUAAAUUGUAUAUGUUAAUU